Long non-coding RNA from Oreochromis aureus, 1079 nucleotides. NCBI's taxonomy places the organism in Eukaryota, Metazoa, Chordata, Actinopteri, Cichliformes, Cichlidae. The record is from Ensembl.
CUCCGAUGCUUGUUGUCAUCUGUUUACUCCUAUGUAAUCACUUAAGUUGUUAUUAACUGCUGCAUGCUAAGCUGCAAGAGUGCACUGAGGACUGAGACAAAAUAUGGUCUACAAACCAGCAUUAUAUUAGUUUUUAUCAGAUAGUCCUCCAGUGUGUUUAAUUUUUGCUUUAAUUCUAUUGUGCAGUUAUUUGUUACCCUGAAAUGCUUUAUGCUUAACAACAGCUCACUAUUUUGACUUAUUUUUGAACUCUUGUGAUCAGUAUGACUAGAUUGUGUGAGUUUCCAUACUAAAAGAGCUGUAGUGAUAAAAUAACUGGCAUCAGAGACACUGGUUUUUGGCAUGGUAUACUGCAGAAGUUUUUUUUUUUUGCAUAAUUUACCUUUUAAUUAAACUGCAUUCUCUGUAUUGUAACAAAACUAACAUUGUUUAUAUGUCAGAAAAUUAGCAAACAUGAAUAAAUGGCAAAAACAAUAUAAUUAUAACAUAUAUUUUUAUUUUACUUAUUUUAGGUCUGUGAAGCCAAACUUGAUGCUGGGGAUUUAUUUUUGUCAGUGGAGUCAAAUGGUCUAGAUGAUCACAUCUGUCUUUGUCAUUUAAAUGAGGUGGACUUGCAAACUUUGCGCUCUUUUGGAUUUCAAGACAGAGCUUAUUGUUCUCUGAACUUCCUUGUUUGCUGAACGGCAGGUUGAAGCAGAAUUUGCCCGUCUUACAUCUGUUGACCUGAAAGGGUUCCUUUUUGCUGUGCUUGACCAUUAUGGAGAGGUUCGUGGAGCUGUACAAAAUCAAGAGCGGCAUAGGAGGGCUAACUAGGCUCAUAAGAUGCUUCGGAGAUGAUAGCCCUACACAAAGGAAGAGGACAGAGGGCCUCAUUUUCUAAAGGAAGAGCCCUCACACACUUUCAAGACUGUGAAGCCGACAGGUAUUGAAGACACGUUUUCUAAGAGGAUGAAAGUUGGCAUUGUGAUGGUGAAAGAAGAAGACAUCAUCGAUGUGUUGGUCGUCCCUGAGGCGGCAGUAAUCCUGUCUAAUCUGAGGGAUGUCUCAAGUGCCAUUUCCAUGCUGAUGGGCCUUCUUUU